Molecule: ribosomal RNA, 271 nt
Filed under: uncultured bacterium
Lineage: Bacteria
Description: partial 16S ribosomal RNA
Rfam family: Bacterial small subunit ribosomal RNA
Source: RNAcentral
UACAGAGGGUGCAAGCGUUAAUCGGAAUUACUGGGCGUAAAGCGCGCGUAGGCGGAUAGUUUAGUCAGAGGUGAAAGCCCAGGGCUCAACCUUGGAAUUGCCUUUGAUACUGGCUAUCUUGAGUAUGGAAGAGGUAUGUGGAACUCCGAGUGUAGAGGUGAAAUUCGUAGAUAUUCGGAAGAACACCAGUGGCGAAGGCGGCUCACUGGUCCGGUACUGACGCUGAGGUGCGAAAGCGUGGGGAGCAAACAGGAUUAGAAACCCUGGUAGU